Molecule: ribosomal RNA, 493 nt
Filed under: uncultured bacterium
Lineage: Bacteria
Description: partial 16S ribosomal RNA
Rfam family: Bacterial small subunit ribosomal RNA
Source: RNAcentral
AUUGAACGCUGGCGGCAUGCUUUACACAUGCAAGUCGAACGGUAACAGGUUAAGCUGACGAGUGGCGAACGGGUGAGUAAUGCAUCGGAACGUGCCCGAUCGUGGGGGAUAACGCAGCGAAAGCUGCGCUAAUACCGCAUACGAUCUGAGGAUGAAAGCGGGGGACCGUAAGGCCUCGCGCGAUCGGAGCGGCCGAUGUCAGAUUAGGUAGUUGGUGGGGUAAAGGCUCACCAAGCCGACGAUCUGUAGCUGGUCUGAGAGGACGACCAGCCACACUGGGACUGAGACACGGCCCAGACUCCUACGGGAGGCAGCAGUGGGGAAUUUUGGACAAUGGGCGCAAGCCUGAUCCAGCAAUGCCGCGUGCAGGAAGAAGGCCUUCGGGUUGUAAACUGCUUUUGUACGGAGCGAAAAGGCUCUCUCUAAUACAGGGGGUUCAUGACGGUACCGUAAGAAUAAGCACCGGCUAACUACGUGCCAGCAGCCGCCGUAA